Molecule: ribosomal RNA, 468 nt
Filed under: uncultured bacterium
Lineage: Bacteria
Description: partial 16S ribosomal RNA
Rfam family: Bacterial small subunit ribosomal RNA
Source: RNAcentral
GACGAACGCUGGCGGCGUGCUUAACACAUGCAAGUCGAACGGAAAGGCCCUGCUUUUGUGGGGUGCUCGAGUGGCGAACGGGUGAGUAACACGUGAGUAACCUGCCCUUGACUUUGGGAUAACUUCAGGAAACUGGGGCUAAUACCGGAUAGGAGCUCCUGCUGCAUGGUGGGGGUUGGAAAGUUUCGGCGGUUGGGGAUGGACUCGCGGCUUAUCAGCUUGUUGGUGGGGUAGUGGCUUACCAAGGCUUUGACGGGUAGCCGGCCUGAGAGGGUGACCGGCCACAUUGGGACUGAGAUAAGGCCCAGACUCCUACGGGAGGCAGCAGUGGGGAAUAUUGCACAAUGGGCGGAAGCCUGAUGCAGCAACGCCGCGUGCGGGAUAACGGCCUUCGGGUUGUAAACCGCUUUCGCCUGUGACGAAGCGUGAGUGACGGUAAUGGGUAAAGAAGCACCGGCUAACUACGUG